Molecule: ribosomal RNA, 253 nt
Filed under: uncultured bacterium
Lineage: Bacteria
Description: partial 16S ribosomal RNA
Rfam family: Bacterial small subunit ribosomal RNA
Source: RNAcentral
UACGUAGGGGGCGAGCGUUGUCCGGAAUCAUUGGGCGUAAAGAGCGUGUAGGCGGCCAGAUAAGUCCGCUGUGAAAACUCGAGGCUCAACUUCGAGCUGUCGGUGGAAACUAUUUGGCUAGAGUCCGGAAGAGGAGAGUGGAAUUCCUGGUGUAGCGGUGAAAUGCGCAGAUAUCAGGAAGAACACCCGUGGCGAAGGCGGCUCUCUGGUACGGAACUGACGCUGAGACGCGAAAGCGUGGGGAGCGAACAGG